Long non-coding RNA from Choloepus didactylus (southern two-toed sloth), 396 nucleotides. RefSeq lists it as uncharacterized. Lineage: Eukaryota; Metazoa; Chordata; Mammalia; Pilosa; Megalonychidae. The transcript is spliced from 3 exons. The record is from RefSeq and is a predicted model, not a curated record.
GGGCGAGGUCCGGGGUCCUGGCUGCCAGGGAUCGGGUCAAACUGUGGGGCCCGACUUCUCGCAGGGGCGCGGCCCGGGGACCGGUUUUCGCGCCACCGGUACAGCGAAUCUGUCGUCUCGACUGGGAAUUGUACAGUGCUUCUGAGGAUUAAUACAAAAGAGGCCCUCUGCAGAGUGCUGGCUACCACGCUGCAGACUGUAAGCAGUUGGAAUUUUUACUGAGAUUGUGUGGAAGUCUUGGGAAGAGUGCAGCUGCUGCUCCAGCAGGCCUGGAAGAUAAAGCAUCAAAUUACAGAUGACUCUCAGACCUUGGCAUCUGUGCCAGUUUGAAUGUAUUGUGUCCCCCAAAUGCCAUAUCUUUGAUGUAGUCUUGUGGGGCAGACAUUUUGGUGCUGA